GAUGAAGAACGUAGCGAAAUGCGAUAAGUAAUGUGAAUUGCAGAAUUCAGUGAAUCAUCGAAUCUUUGAACGCACAUUGCGCCCGCCAGUAUUCUGGCGGGCAUGCCUGUUCGAGCGUCAUUUCAACCCUCAAGCCCCAGUGGCCUGGUGUUGGGGACCGGCGACCUCGCCCGGGGACACCUCGCGUGCCCCCCCCGGUGCGUCCGCCGCCCCCGAAAUGAAUUGGCGGCCCCGUCGCGGCCUCCUCUGCGUAGUAGCACAACCUCGCAGCGGGAGCGCGACGCGGCCACUGCCGUAAAACGCCCAACUUUUUUAGAGUUGACCUCGGAUCAGGUAGGAAUACCCGCUGAACUUAAGCAUAUCAAUAAGCGGAGGA
RNAcentral lists this unclassified non-coding RNA (376 nucleotides) under soil metagenome. Its description in RNAcentral is "partial contains 5.8S ribosomal RNA, internal transcribed spacer 2, and large subunit ribosomal RNA". The stretch from base 1 to 120 matches the Rfam family "5.8S ribosomal RNA", at positions 35 to 154 of the family's 154-position model. The record is from RNAcentral.